UUAUAUGGUCAAGAAGAGAAGCGCAAACGGUGGAUGCCUUGGCAGUAAGAGGCGAAGAAGGACGUGGAAUCCUGCGAAAAGCUAUGGGGAGCUGGAAACGAGCGUUGAGCCAUAGAUGUCCGAAUGGGGGAACCCGGCUGCAGCGAUGCGGUCAUUUGCAUUUGAAUACAUAGGAUGCAAAGGCGAACUCGGGGAACUGAAACAUCUAAGUACCCGAAGGAAAAGAAAUCAAGAGAGAUUCUCCAAGUAGCGGCGAGCGAACGGGGAGGAGCCUGGCGUGAUUUAUUAUUGAACUGAGUAGAACAAUUUGGGAAAGUUGGCCGAAGAGGGUGAAAGCCCCGUAUACGAAGGUUUGAUGAGGAACUAGGCACGCGAACAAGUAGGCCGGGACACGUGAAAUCCUGGUUGAAGAUGGGUGGACCAUCAUCCAAGGCUAAAUACUACUUACUGACCGAUAGUGAACCAGUACCGUGAGGGAAAGGUGAAAAGAACCCCGGAGAGGGGAGUGAAAUAGAAUCUGAAACCGUUUGCGUACAAGCAGUGGGAGCAUGGUUUAGGCUGUGUGACUGCGUACCUUUUGUAUAAUGGGUCAGCGAGUUACUUUCAGUGGCGAGGUUAACUGAAUAAGGGAGCCGUAGAGAAAUCGAGUCUGAAUAGGGCGAUAGUCGCUGGGAGUAGACCCGAAACCGGGCGAUCUAGCCAUGUGCAGGAUGAAGGUUGGGUAACACCAACUGGAGGUCCGAACCGGGUAAUGUUGAAAAAUUAUCGGAUGACGUGUGGCUAGGAGUGAAAGGCUAAUCAAGCCCGGAGAUAGCUGGUUCUCCCCGAAAGCUAUUUAGGUAGCGCCUCGUGAAUGAUUACUGGGGGUAGAGCACUGUUUCGGCUAGGGGGCUGUCAUGGCUUACCAAACCGAUGCAAACUCCGAAUACCGGCUAAUUGAAUCACGGGAGACACACGGCGGGUGCUAACGUCCGUCGUGGAGAGGGAAACAACCCAGACCGCCAGCUAAGGUCCCCAAGUACUAGUUAAGUGGGAAACGAUGUGGGAAGGCAUAGACAGCCAGGAGGUUGGCUUAGAAGCAGCCACCCUUUAAAGAAAGCGUAAUAGCUCACUGGUCGAGUCGGCCUGCGCGGAAGAUGUAACGGGGCUAAAACUAGUCACCGAAGCUGCGGAUGUGCGCGAAGGCGCACGUGGUAGGGGAGCGUUCUGUAGGCUGAUGAAGGUGCAUUGAGAAGUGUGCUGGAGGUAUCAGAAGUGCGAAUGCUGACAUGAGUAACGAUAAUGUGGGUGAAAAGCCCACACGCCGGAAGUCCCAGGUUUCCUGCACGACGUUAAUCGGAGCAGGGUGAGUCGGCCCCUAAGGCGAGGCUGAAGAGCGUAGUCGAUGGGAACCAGGUUAAUAUUCCUGGACUUUUUAUAAGUGGUGAAGUGGGGACGAAGAAGGCUAGGUGAGCCAGGCGUUGGUUGUC
This 1469-nucleotide ribosomal RNA is filed under the name Legionella pneumophila. RNAcentral's name for it is "partial 23S ribosomal RNA". It matches the Rfam family "Bacterial large subunit ribosomal RNA", at positions 1 to 1506 of the family's 2925-position model. The record is from RNAcentral. Lineage: Bacteria; Pseudomonadati; Pseudomonadota; Gammaproteobacteria; Legionellales; Legionellaceae.